GAUCUCCCUGCAGAACUGAUGUGGAACGCAUCACAUACUAAACAAAAUUUCAUGAUUAUAUAAAAAUAUAGAUUAUGAAAUUCCAGAUCUAUACAAAUGCCUUAUAAUGACAACACCAUGUAUUGGAAUAACAUAUGCAAGGGCAAUAGUAACUCAUUUUCAUUUUUCCACAUAAGCAAUUAGAUGCUUUGUGUAUUUUCAUGUGUUCUCUUUUUGUAUUGUUGCCAUUUUUUCCUACCUUUCCAUUUUUCUUUUAUA
This 258-nucleotide unclassified non-coding RNA is filed under the name Hevea brasiliensis (rubber tree). Lineage: Eukaryota; Viridiplantae; Streptophyta; Magnoliopsida; Malpighiales; Euphorbiaceae. The record is from RNAcentral.